ACGACCGGCGCACGGGUGAGUAACACGUAUGCAACCUACCUAUAACAGGGGGAUAGCCCGAAGAAAUUCGGAUUAAUACCGCAUAAUAUUUUAUAUCCAUAAGGGUAUAAAUUUAAAGAUUAUCGGUUAUAGAUGGGCAUGCGUUCCAUUAGCUAGUUGGUAAGGUAAUAGCUUACCAAGGCAACGAUGGAUAGGGGAACUGAGAGGUUUAUCCCCCACACUGGUACUGAGACACGGACCAG
Molecule: ribosomal RNA, 242 nt
Filed under: uncultured bacterium
Lineage: Bacteria
Description: partial 16S ribosomal RNA
Rfam family: Bacterial small subunit ribosomal RNA
Source: RNAcentral